AGCGAACGCUGGCGGCAGGCUUAACACAUGCAAGUCGAGCGGGCACUUUCGGGUGUCAGCGGCGGACGGGUGAGUAACGCGUGGGAACGUGCCCUCUGGUUCGGAAUAACUCAGGGAAACUUGAGCUAAUACCGGAUACGCCCUUUUGGGGAAAGGCUUGCUGCCGGAGGAUCGGCCCGCGUCUGAUUAGCUAGUUGGUGAGGUAACGGCUCUCCAAGGCGACGAUCAGUAGCUGGUCUGAGAGGAUGAUCAGCCACACUGGGACUGAGACACGGCCCAGACUCCUACGGGAGGCAGCAGUGGGGAAUAUUGGACAAUGGGCGCAAGCCUGAUCCAGCCAUGCCGCGUGAGUGAUCAAGGCCUUAGGGUUGUAAAGCUCUUUUAUCCGGGACGAUAAUGACGGUACCGGAGGAAUAAGCCCCGGCUAACUUCGUG
RNAcentral lists this ribosomal RNA (435 nucleotides) under uncultured bacterium. RNAcentral's name for it is "partial 16S ribosomal RNA". It matches the Rfam family "Bacterial small subunit ribosomal RNA", at positions 29 to 507 of the family's 1533-position model. The record is from RNAcentral.